Molecule: long non-coding RNA, 445 nt
Filed under: Struthio camelus australis
Lineage: Eukaryota; Metazoa; Chordata; Aves; Struthioniformes; Struthionidae
Description: lncRNA (ENSSCUG00000014081.1)
Source: RNAcentral
AUCAAUCUCACAGUGUCCUCUCCUGUGAAAUAUAAUUGCAUCCUACCAGCAGGAUCCUCCCUCCUCAUUGAUUACCUCCUCCCUUUAUUUCUUACUGAUUUAUUUCUCCCAUUCUCAGCUUUAAUUAAUGCUGAUUUUUGUUCUUUUUUUCAGACAUUCAGAAACUCCAAAACAAGUGAUGAGAGACAGCUGCAUGCACCCAUAGUCUUAUGGAGAGAGUUGUUCCAUGUCACCGAGAACAAACUCAUCAUUUUGCCUGCAGCGCAGCUACUGACUUUUAGAUACUGUUUCCCCUCCUUGCCUUGGCCCAACCUCAGCUUUGGGGAAAGUCUCCUCAGAGUCAUCUUCCCUCUUCGUCUUCGAAAGCGCUCGCCAAAUCUCUCUUCCCACUGCUGAAGGACUAAAGCUACCUCCUCUCUGCAUCAUGGGACAGUAAAUAACUGCA